Molecule: ribosomal RNA, 490 nt
Filed under: uncultured bacterium
Lineage: Bacteria
Description: partial 16S ribosomal RNA
Rfam family: Bacterial small subunit ribosomal RNA
Source: RNAcentral
AUUGAACGCUGGCGGCAGGCCUAACACAUGCAAGUCGAACGGUAACAGGAAGCCGCUUGCCGCUUUGCUGACGAGUGGCGGACGGGUGAGUAAUGUCUGGGAAACUGCCUGAUGGAGGGGGAUAACUACUGGAAACGGUAGCUAAUACCGCAUAACGUCGCAAGACCAAAGAGGGGGACCUUAGGGCCUCUUGCCAUCGGAUGUGCCCAGAUGGGAUUAGCUAGUAGGUGGGGUAACGGCUCACCUAGGCGACGAUCCCUAGCUGGUCUGAGAGGAUGACCAGCCACACUGGAACUGAGACACGGUCCAGACUCCUACGGGAGGCAGCAGUGGGGAAUAUUGCACAAUGGGCGCAAGCCUGAUGCAGCCAUGCCGCGUGUAUGAAGAAGGCCUUCGGGUUGUAAAGUACUUUCAGCGGGGAGGAAGGGAGUAAAGUUAAUACCUUUGCUCAUUGACGUUACCCGCAGAAGAAGCACCGGCUAACUCCGUG